Molecule: ribosomal RNA, 253 nt
Filed under: uncultured bacterium
Lineage: Bacteria
Description: partial 16S ribosomal RNA
Rfam family: Bacterial small subunit ribosomal RNA
Source: RNAcentral
GACAGAGGGUGCAAACGUUGUUCGGAUUUACUGGGCGUAAAGCGCACGUAGGCGGAUUUGUAAGUCAGGGGUGAAAUCCCGGGGCUCAACCUCGGAACUGCCUUUGAUACUGCAAAUCUCGAGUCCGAUAGAGGUGGGUGGAAUUCCUAGUGUAGAGGUGAAAUUCGUAGAUAUUAGGAAGAACACCGGUGGCGAAGGCGGCCCACUGGAUCGGUACUGACGCUGAGGUGCGAAAGCGUGGGGAGCAAACAGG